Ipomoea nil (Japanese morning glory) is the source of this 97-nucleotide long non-coding RNA. RefSeq lists it as uncharacterized. The transcript has 3 exons. The record is from RefSeq and is a predicted model, not a curated record. Lineage: Eukaryota; Viridiplantae; Streptophyta; Magnoliopsida; Solanales; Convolvulaceae.
GUUCCCGGUAGCUUGGUUUUUGUGUUGAGCCUAGCCUAUGUUGGCGUUGGUUUUGGUUGGAUAAGCGAAUGAGGCAUAUCAAUUCAUUAAAUGAGAC